Long non-coding RNA from Glycine soja, 1373 nucleotides. RefSeq lists it as uncharacterized. NCBI's taxonomy places the organism in Eukaryota, Viridiplantae, Streptophyta, Magnoliopsida, Fabales, Fabaceae. The record is from RefSeq and is a predicted model, not a curated record. The transcript is spliced from 4 exons.
UUUAAUAUUCCUGAAGCAUCUGAUUUGAGGACGAAGAAAAAAAAUACUUCAGACCAUAGGAAAGUGAUGGAGGCAGUUUAAGUCAGAUUUCACCUCCAAAUGGGCUCUGGAAAAUGACAAGGAGGCGAGGAUGAUAAUAUAUGUGAAAAUUAUGACAUAAGCAAGGAGAAGUGGAACCAGUUUUGCCAGAGCCAUAGAGAUCCUUCAUGGGAGGAUGUUCAAAAGAAGGCACAUGCCAUUCAGAAACAAAACAUUGCCUCUCACGUGUUGUCUUGUAAGGGCUAUGAUUAUCUAGAACAAAAGGUGAUGGAGGACAAGAAAAAGAAACAAUUGGAGGAAGCAGCCUAAUAAUCCAAGAGCACUGACACAAUUAUUAAUCCUCCAUCUCCCAUUAGACGAAACAUGAAGUGGAAGAUGACCCGCACGAAAAAAUCUGGUCAAAUGACGUCUGAGGCAUCAAAUGAAAUUGCAAAUAGGAUUAUUCCCUGGAAGAGCAAGCCUCAUAAGGAAGCUUUAUUGCCCAUGGACGUCAGGAUGUAUUGACUACUACCAUUGGACGACCAGAACACCCUUGCAGUGUCCAUGCUGUUGGAGUCGAUGUCAUGAUCAAACAAUACUUUGGAAUGACUUCAAGGAGAUCCCACACAUCUAUGUCCAUGGCUCCCGAAGACCUGGAGCAUAUGACACAAAAAAUCAAGGACCAUCUAGAGGAGUUGAUCACAGAAAAAGUGACUCAAAAACUAAUGUUGUCCUUCAGCCAGAUACAGUCCUAGUUGCAUCCAUAGAUGCAAUCGCAGAUGCAAUCACAAGGACUCGCAUUGCCUCCUAAGCCUAAGGUUGGUCCUUCUGCUGCUUGUGUCAGCACAAAGGAAAGUUGUGUUGAUCCCUCAGGGCAGGACCCAGACACAGGUGACUCAGAGAAAUCUGGGUUGUAUGUCGAUGAAAAUCCUCCCCACCUGGUUGCCCUUGGAAGACUUUAUGAGAGUUUGACUAUCAUCCACAACAUCCCUAUGGGCAAUGAUCAAAUCAAGGUCGGUGUUAAUGAAGUUCAAGAUGCCGAUGCUCGCGUUCCUAUAUCCAUGAUAAACAGUGUUGUAAGGGAUCGACGAAACUUGCAGAUAGGCCGGAUCCUGAUGUCGAUCUCCAAUACUUGAUGACAUUGACCAUCCCGCAACUUUUCCUCAAGCCUUUGCUGGUGUCGUGGGAUGUUAUUGUGUUUGGGGUGUAUAAUGAUAACUUCCCCUUGUACAUAAAACAUGAAGAUCUUUUUGAAAUAACACACGGUGGUCAAUGUCUCAAUAUCUCUGUUAUACAAUUGUGGAUUUUGUAUCUCACUUUACAUUAUUGUAUAUUAGCUACCUGAUUGUUUUAAA